RNAcentral lists this ribosomal RNA (394 nucleotides) under uncultured bacterium. Its description in RNAcentral is "partial 16S ribosomal RNA". It matches the Rfam family "Bacterial small subunit ribosomal RNA", at positions 523 to 918 of the family's 1533-position model. The record is from RNAcentral.
AUACGUAGGGAGCGAGCGUUGUCCGGAAUUACUGGGCGUCAAGGGCGCGUAGGCGGAGCUUCAAGUCGUCUGUCAAAUGGGAGGGCUUAACCCUUUUUCGCAGACGAACCUGCAGAGCUUGAGAAGCAGAGAGGCAAACAGAAUUCCUGGUGUAGCGGUGAAAUGCGUAGAUAUCAGGAAGAAUACCAGUGGAGAAGGCGGUUUGCUGGCUGCAUACGGACGCUGAAGCGCGAAAGCGAGGGGAGCAAACGGGAUUAGAUACCCCGGUAGUCCUGGCAGUAAACGAUGUAUGCUGGGUGUGAGACUAGCGAUAGUGUCGUGCCGAAGUUAACGCGAUAAGCAUACCGCCUGGGGAGUACGGUCGCAAGAUUGAAACUCAAAGGAAUUGACGGGG